UCUGCAAUGCUGACUAAAUGCAAAGCAUGCAUUCCCGACCUGCAACAUUAAACUUAUGGCUCUUGAGACAUUCUCUUAUACUCAUAACAAAACAAUCAUCUCUAGAUUUUUUAUUCGUAUUGUAUUGUCUAUUUAAUGUUUGUAUUUGAGGAUGUGCUCUGGUUCUCUCUCAGCUAAGCCAGAUGCUCGAUGGCGAACUCCCCUCUCUGGACUGUGUUGAGGUCGAGCCUCAGAGAGAGGCCCUCCAGGGCAUACUGGAUGUCCUGUCUGACAAUGGACUGGAGACCGAGGACCCCAACAGUCCUCUUGGUGCUUUUCACCUCGUUACCAGUGCCCUGGCUGGUAAGUGGGCCUGACCGUCACUGUAGUUUGUAGCGUAGCUCCUGCACAGUAGUUGCUGUGUCACAUCUCAAGCUAAAUAUUAGUGUGAAAUGUUCACACCCGGUUUUCCAGAAAUGCCGGAUGACGGCCUUGCUGUCCUGGUGUCGAGCUGCACUCCCCCAGAUCCCAAGAUGCUGAGAUCCCUGGAGCUGCUGAUGCAGUGUUUUAUCGAGAAUGGGGAGAUGUCUCUGAGCAGUGAUGACCUCGCUCCCCUGACCGAGGAGACCUUCCAGUUGACAGAGGAGCUCUUCAACUCCUGUGGAGUGGGUCUGCAGAGAGACGGAGACGUGCUGAGGACGAAAUUCAGCGGUACCUGUGAGCCGCAGCCUCUCAUCCUGUACAUUGCCAUCAAAGGCCUUGCUUCCCUAUAGCCUGGUGUUAAUUAGGGACAGGUAUCACCAGGAUGCUCACAAUAUGAUAUCACAGGGGUUUUCGUAGACCAUUAUUAUAUGGAUUGCGAUUCGUUGUAUUUUGCGAUACAAUGAUAUUCCCACUUUUAGUGAAAUGUUAUCUUUUGUUUCUGGCUUUCUAUUAUUUCUUUAAAAAAAGUUAUUUUAUGUCACCCUGACAAUUUUGGAAGCAAAGAAUUUAGAUUCUCACAUGAAUUUGAUGUUUUUAUACAAUUUGUUCUCAUUGCGUUUAAAUCAUUGAAUAACCUUAAUAAAGACAACAAUCAAAUUUGUUAUUUACUGCAUUCCAGCCUUCUCUCCCAUAAAAAAACAUAAAAGUUCUGUGUUUUAAAUCAGCAAAGGUUUAUAUAUUUGCUAGGUAUUUCAUUUAUUUGAUAGAUAUUAUGGCAUUGUAGAUAUUAGGCUGAUAAUUGAUGAUAUUGAUAAAUUCAGGCUCAGGGUUAUACAAUGUGAUUAUUCUCUAGAUUUAUCACUUACUGCCUUCAAUCUUAAACUGCUGAUAUAAGCUUAAACCCUUCUUAAACUAUGGUUCUUAAACCCCUCCUUCUUAUGAAAUAAAUCGGUUUUCCCUCAG
Molecule: long non-coding RNA, 1365 nt
Filed under: Gadus morhua (Atlantic cod)
Lineage: Eukaryota; Metazoa; Chordata; Actinopteri; Gadiformes; Gadidae
Description: lncRNA (ENSGMOG00000034448.1)
Source: RNAcentral